RNAcentral lists this ribosomal RNA (433 nucleotides) under uncultured bacterium. Its description in RNAcentral is "partial 16S ribosomal RNA". It matches the Rfam family "Bacterial small subunit ribosomal RNA", at positions 29 to 507 of the family's 1533-position model. The record is from RNAcentral.
AACGAACGCUGGCGGCAUGCCUAACACAUGCAAGUCGAACGAGACCUUCGGGUCUAGUGGCGCACGGGUGCGUAACGCGUGGGAACCUGCCCUUAGGUUCGGAAUAACUCCCCGAAAGGGGUGCUAAUACCGGAUAAUGUCUUCGGACCAAAGAUUUAUCGCCUUUGGAUGGGCCCGCGUUGGAUUAGCUAGUUGGUAGGGUAAAAGCCUACCAAGGCGACGAUCCAUAGCUGGUCUGAGAGGAUGAUCAGCCACACUGGGACUGAGACACGGCCCAGACUCCUAAGGGAGGAAGCAGUGGGGAAAAUUGGACAAUGGGCGAAAGACUGAUCCAGCAAUGCCGCGUGAGUGAUGAAGGCCUUAGGGUUGUAAAGCUCUUUUACCCGGGAUGAUAAUGACAGUACCGGGAGAAUAAGCUCCGGCUAACUCCGUG